AGGGAGGAAUGAACAAGAGCAAGCCCAGUGGGAGAGAUGACUGACCAGGAAUAUCGUGGGGAGAAAGGGGAGGCUCCCUCCUGCUAACACGGCUUCUCUGGUCAGUCCUUGGAGAUUCAUAGGACCAAAGGGUUUCAAGGGAGUGCUAAGAGACCUUAAGCAUCAGGAUCAAGUCCAGACCUCUCAAUGGACAGAGAAGAUGCUAGGUGACCAUUUUUCAGGAAUAUUAAGAAGGCUUCACUGUCAUAGUGGAAAGAGUGACUACUUCAAAUCCCAGCUUUGCUGAUCACUAGCUAUGAGAUCUCAGUAACAUCAACAUCAUCAUCAUCCUUCAAUGUUUCUUCAAUGGAUAUGAUCUGUUCCAUAGGAGGUAGGUUCAUUUUUGAAACUAGCAAUUGUUUUUCCACUCUAAUGGUUUGCCUAUUAGGUUGUUUGUUUUUAAGAAUCAGUUGCUAGUUUUAUUUACCAAUGCAAUGUUUUGUUUUUGUUUUUUGCUUUCAAUAUUAUAAGCUUUCUUAUUUUAAUUUUUUAAAUUUAAUUUCUCUUUUGGUGUUUACUUGGAAGAGCUGAUUGAUGCUCUUCUGUUUUUUUUUUUUUAGUUGAAUAUCCAAUCCAUUGAUCUUUCUUUAUCUUUUUGCUAAUGAAAAUGUUUUCAGAUAAAAAAAAAAUUCCCCUAAGGAUUACUUCAGUUGAAUAUUCAAAGUUUUAGGAAAAUAUGUAAUUGUCAUUUUCUUUAUGAAGUUAUCAAAUGGUUCAGUGAUUCAUUCUUUAGCCUAUCUGUUAUUUAGGAUUAAUUUAUUUAUCUCCAAUUAUUUUUAAUCCUCUCUUCAAAGAACUUUCAUUGGAUAUAACUUUAUUGUUUAUGGUCAGCAAAUUAUGGGCUU
RNAcentral lists this long non-coding RNA (884 nucleotides) under Monodelphis domestica (gray short-tailed opossum). RNAcentral describes it as "lncRNA (ENSMODG00000031709.2)". Lineage: Eukaryota; Metazoa; Chordata; Mammalia; Didelphimorphia; Didelphidae. The record is from RNAcentral.